Molecule: ribosomal RNA, 404 nt
Filed under: Actinomycetes bacterium
Lineage: Bacteria; Bacillati; Actinomycetota; Actinomycetes
Description: Actinobacteria bacterium partial 16S ribosomal RNA
Rfam family: Bacterial small subunit ribosomal RNA
Source: RNAcentral
UGGGGAAUAUUGGACAAUGGGCGCAAGCCUGAUCCAGCCAUGCCGCGUGAGUGAUGAAGGCCCUAGGGUUGUAAAGCUCUUUCACCGGUGAAGAUAAUGACGGUAACCGGAGAAGAAGCCCCGGCUAACUUCGUGCCAGCAGCCGCGGUAAUACGAAGGGGGCUAGCGUUGUUCGGAUUUACUGGGCGUAAAGCGCACGUAGGCGGACUAUUAAGUCAGGGGUGAAAUCCCGGGGCUCAACCCCGGAACUGCCUUUGAUACUGGUAGUCUUUAGUUCUAGAGAGGUGAGUGGGAUUCCGAGGGUAGAAGUGAAAUUCGUAGAUAUUAGGAGGAACACCAGUGGCGAAGACGGCUCACUGGCGCGAUACUGACGCUGAGGUGCGAAAGCGUGGGGAGCAAACAGG